AGGGGGAUAGCUCAGUAGCAGAGAGCAUGCUUGGUGUGCAUGAAGUCCUGGGUUCAAUCCCCAGUACCUUCG
This 72-nucleotide transfer RNA is filed under the name Camelus bactrianus (Bactrian camel). It matches the Rfam family "tRNA". From Rfam's summary of the family: Transfer RNA (tRNA) molecules are approximately 80 nucleotides in length. Their secondary structure includes four short double-helical elements and three loops (D, anti-codon, and T loops). The record is from Rfam by way of RNAcentral. RNAcentral also lists the same sequence under 2 other names. Lineage: Eukaryota; Metazoa; Chordata; Mammalia; Artiodactyla; Camelidae.